GACGAACGCUGGCGGCGUGCCUAAUACAUGCAAGUCGAGCGGAACUGGGGGAGCUUGCUCCUUCCAGUUUAGCGGCGGACGGGCGAGUAACACGUGGGCAACCUGCCCUGCAGAUCGGGAUAACUCCGGGAAACCGGUGCUAAUACCGAAUAGUUUGGCGCCUCUCCUGAGGCGCUACGGAAAGACGGUUUCGGCUGUCACUGCAGGAUGGGCCCGCGGCGCAUUAGCUAGUUGGUGGGGUAACGGCCCACCAAGGCGACGAUGCGUAGCCGACCUGAGAGGGUGACCGGCCACACUGGACUGAGACACGGCCCAGACUCCUACGGGAGGCAGCAGUAGGGAAUCUUCCGCAAUGGACGCAAGUCUGACGGAGCAACGCCGCGUGAGUGACGAAGGUUUUCGGAUCGUAAAACUCUGUUGUGAGGGAAGAACACGUACCAACUAACUAUUGGUACCUUGACGGUACCUCACCAGAAAGCCACGGCUAACUACGUGCCAGCCGCCGCCGUAA
Molecule: ribosomal RNA, 511 nt
Filed under: uncultured bacterium
Lineage: Bacteria
Description: partial 16S ribosomal RNA
Rfam family: Bacterial small subunit ribosomal RNA
Source: RNAcentral